RNAcentral lists this ribosomal RNA (429 nucleotides) under Chloroflexota bacterium. Its description in RNAcentral is "Chloroflexi bacterium partial 16S ribosomal RNA". It matches the Rfam family "Bacterial small subunit ribosomal RNA", at positions 355 to 776 of the family's 1533-position model. The record is from RNAcentral. Lineage: Bacteria; Bacillati; Chloroflexota.
UAGGGAAUCUUCGGCAAUGGACGAAAGUCUGACCGAGCAACGCCGCGUGAGUGAAGAAGGUUUUCGGAUCGUAAAACUCUGUUGUUAGAGAAGAACAAGGACGUUAGUAACUGAACGUCCCCUGACGGUAUCUAACCAGAAAGCCACGGCUAACUACGUGCCAGCAGCCGCGGUAAUACGUAGGUGGCAAGCGUUGUCCGGAUUUAUUGGGCGUAAAGCGAGCGCAGGCGGUUUCUUAAGUCUGAUGUGAAAGCCCCCGGCUCAACCGAGGAGGGUCAUUGGAAGCUGGGAGCCUUGAGUGCAGAAGAGGAGAGUUGAAUUCCAUGUGUAGCGGUGAAAUGCUUAGAUAUAAGGAGGAACACCAGUGGCGAAGGCGGCUCUCUGGUCUGUAACUGACGCUGAGGCUCGAAAGCGUGGGGAGCAAACAGG